AGAAUCAACGCUGGCGGCGUGCCUAACACAUGCAAGUCGAACGAGAAAGUGGAGCAAUCCAUGAGUAAAGUGGCGCACGGGUGAGUAACACGUGACUAACCUACCCUUGAGUGGGGGAUAACCUAGGGAAACCUGGGCUAAUACCGCAUAAUACCUUCGGGUCAAAGGAGCAAUUCGCUUAAGGAGGGGGUCGCGGCCGAUUAGUUAGUUGGCGGGGUAAUGGCCCACCAAGACUGUGAUCGGUAUCCGGCCUGAGAGGGCGCACGGACACACUGGAACUGAAACACGGUCCAGACUCCUACGGGAGGCAGCAGUGGGGAAUUUUGCGCAAUGGGGGAAACCCUGACGCAGCAACGCCGCGUGGAGGAUGAAGUCCCUUGGGACGUAAACUCCUUUCGAUCGGGACGAUUAUGACGGUACCGGAAGAAGAAGCCCCGGCUAACUUCGCGCCAGCAGCCGGGGC
This 463-nucleotide ribosomal RNA is filed under the name uncultured bacterium. Its description in RNAcentral is "SSU rRNA". It matches the Rfam family "Bacterial small subunit ribosomal RNA", at positions 26 to 521 of the family's 1533-position model. The record is from RNAcentral.